AAUUUUUGGCUCACAUGGUCGUUACAUCAAUUAGAUAUCAGAUAUUCUUAUUUUGAUUUAUUUUAGCAUGAUAUUCUAAUAUAAUAUUCAUUCAUAAAAUAUUGGUACCAUUAUGGAAUAUUGGGAACACUCUAAGCACCAGCUUUUUCUGAUGGAAAAUGUAACAUCUUUAUAACCCUCUAUAGAUGUAUGUACCGGAAAGGACAUAUGGAUAGUAGUAUAGGAUAUUUGUUGUUUAUGUGUUUGCAAACCUCUUAUUGGUCCUAUGUUGGGAAGAUUUAGUUCUGUAGAGAUAUACAGAGGUUGUGUGAUGACCUCAUGCAUCAUCAUCAUCAUCUUUAUUACAUUUCUUAUAUUGUUCUUAUGCUAUGAUUGUAUUUCUGCCUUUGACUUUAUAUCUAACAUUUGUUGUAUCUUCCUAUACUUGUAUUUGAUGUAUGUAUCUUUGUUUUUCUUUUCUUUAUAUUUAUUUUUAUAUGUAUGAAUAUUAGAAUUUUUAGCAGACACGAUUUGGGCUACCAUUUAGGAGAUUUUAUUAUUACAGGUAAUUUGCCGAUAGUUUUUUAUUAUAUGCUUUAUUUUCUACAUUACGUUGAGAUCCUAUAAUACCAAGUACGUACAAGUGGACUUCACUCAUCCCUACUGUGCACUUUUGGUGCUUAUCCAGGUACGAGUGCACCUUACAAAUAGUUGAUUCAAGUGAUACUUCGAGCCCUUUUUAAGUAACGGUUGAUCAAUGAAUCAAUAGUUUACUUCUAAAUUUUCUUAUCUAUAUCUUACUUGUGUUUAGAGUCAUAUUUUUUCUCCUGUUGGACAUCUAAUGUAUUUAUGACCACGAGUUAUACAAGUGAGUUCUUAGACUAUGACAUCAUGUUUUUAGAUUUGGUUGGUAUCUUGAUUAUAUUUCUGCUUUUACUUGAUAUAUAUGUGUGUUUGGAUGUGUAGGUCAACUCUAUUUUAGAGGUCUUUCCUUGUUCUUGGUAUUGUUUACUCAUUUUAUAUCAUUUUGGGUGAUUGUCUUACUUGUCAAGGUUUGCCGCAACAAGUUUCAUCAUGACCCUUGGUUUUUGGGUCAUGACAUUUUUGUGUUGUGUGGGGGCCUAUAUGGAUCAUAUAUGGUGAUUCUUGAGACAUUAUUUGUUAUAUGUAACCAUGUGGAGUCUUAUAUGAUAUUGUAGUUGGGUAUUGAUAAAUGUAUGUUUGUUUUACUCCUUCUAGUGGCAAAAAGCAUAGAUUUUGAGAUUUAUGUGGUAUCUAUGACAUUAUCUUCCAUGUUUCACUUGAUGGGUUCUAGAUUAUAUCACAUCAUGGAUGGUUGGUUGAUUUGACUGGACUUUUGGCUCACUUGGUUGGUAUAUUUGUUUGAUAUUGGAUGUUCUCAUUAUUGUUGGUUGUUGAGCAUUCCAUCCUCAUAUCAUAUCCAUUUAUGAAACAUUGGUACCACCGUGGAAAUAUUGGAAGUACCACAAAUACUAGCUUUUUUUCCUACAAAAAAUUUGAUAUCUUUAAAAACCCUCUACGGGUAUAUAUGCUAGAGAGGAGAUAUUGAUUAUUAGUAUUGGAUAUUAGUUGUGUACUAGGUGAGGAACGCUCUAUUAGUACUACCUCGAGAAAAUUUAGCUCAAUAGGUGCAUCUGAAGGUUGUGCAAUGAUCUCGAGUAUCCCUUCAUCAUCAUCAUAAUCAUCAUCUUCAUUGCAUUUCAUGUAAUGGCUUUAUGUUGUGAUUGUAUUUCUAUCUUUUUCUUGAUAUCUUUCCAUUUGUUCAAUCAUCCUAUGAUUGUAUUUGAUGUACAUGCAUAUUUUUUCUUCUUUUUUGUACCUUUAUUUUUUAUAUGUGGGUAUAUUAGAACUGUUAGUGGAGAUGGUGUGGCGUACCAUUUAGGAAUUAUUUUGUAGGUAACGUGCCAAUAGAUUGUGUUUAGAUGCUUUAUUUUCGACUUUACUCAGUCUCUUUAUGAUACCUACUAAAUACAAGUGGAUCGUACUCAUCCUUACUAUGCCUUUUUGGUGUAGAUCUAGGCAUAGGUAUGCAACCUGGAUAGCUAAUUCAAGCAAAAUUUGGAGUAUAUUUGAGGUGGCAAACAUCCUAUGCUUUAGGAGUUGUCCCACUACCUCUUUCUGUCAAUUUCACAUCUUAUUUAGUAUUCUGAGAUAGAUUUUAAUCCUUUCUGGACUAUAAAUUUUUCUUUGACAUUCGAGAUGUAUUUAGUAGUUCUAACAGUGUAACACCAAGUUUUGGGAUAUUUUACGGUAUCUUAAU
RNAcentral lists this long non-coding RNA (2260 nucleotides) under Capsicum annuum. Its description in RNAcentral is "long non-coding RNA (CANN_LNC005073)". The record is from RNAcentral. Lineage: Eukaryota; Viridiplantae; Streptophyta; Magnoliopsida; Solanales; Solanaceae.